UACGAAGGGUGCAAACGUUGCUCGGAAUUAUUGGGCGUAAAGCGCACGUAGGCGGCUAUCUAAGUCGGAUGUGAAAUCCCUCGGCUUGACCAAGGAAGUGCACCCGAAACUGGAUAGCUUGAGUACAGAAGAGGAUCGCGGAAUUCCCGGUGUAGAGGUGAAAUUCGUAGAUAUCGGGAGGAACACCAGUGGCGAAGGCGGCGAUCUGGGCUGAUACUGACGCUGAGGUGCGAAAGCGUGGGGAGCAAACAGG
Molecule: ribosomal RNA, 253 nt
Filed under: uncultured bacterium
Lineage: Bacteria
Description: partial 16S ribosomal RNA
Rfam family: Bacterial small subunit ribosomal RNA
Source: RNAcentral